UGUGUAGGCGGUUGUUUAAGUUUGGUGUGAAAUCUCCCGGCUCAACUGGGAGGGUGCGCCGAAUACUGAAUGACUUCGAGUACGGGAGAGGAAAGUGGAAUUCCUGGUGUAGCGGUGAAAUGCGUAGAUAUCAGGAGGAACACCGGUGGUGUAGACGGCUUUCUGGACCGUAACUGACGCUGAGACACGAAAGCGUGGGUAGCAAACAGGAUUAGAUACCCUGGUAGUCCACGCCCUAAACGAUGCAUAUUUGGUGUGGGCAGUUCAUUCUGUCUGUGCCGGAGCUAACGCGUUAAAUAUGCCGCCUGGGGAGUACAGUCGCAAGGCUGAA
This 331-nucleotide ribosomal RNA is filed under the name uncultured bacterium. RNAcentral describes it as "bacterial SSU rRNA". It matches the Rfam family "Bacterial small subunit ribosomal RNA", at positions 568 to 898 of the family's 1533-position model. The record is from RNAcentral.